AGCCUAAGGGGAAUGGAAGCAUCAACAAAAGACUCCCAGCCAUUGUGGAAGAUGAGGAAGAGGAGGAGGAAGUGGAGGAAGAGGAGACCACCUCCCGCUCUCCUAUCUAUACAAGGGGACCCUCUGCUUCACGCCACAAGAAGACUGUAGGCAACAAGAGCUACCUAGGGUUAAGCCUAAAGCAACUAGCCUCAGGGACAGUACCUUUCCACUCACCCAUCAGAGUCUCCACUGCUAAUUCUCUGAAAGCCAAGCAAGAGGCUGAGCCAUCUAACCACAGCCGAAGGAAAGAGAAGAACCUGAGAGUGCAGCUUUGCAGUGUGAAUAGUGCUGGAACCCCAGAGCUCAGUCCAAGGAUUGUUGAUGGAAUUGAAGAUGGUGACAGCAGUGAGGAAACUCAGACUUUUGACUUUGGCUCUGAACAAAUCAGGCCAGAGCCCAGAAUUUCCCCUCCACUCGGAGACCCGGAGGUUGGAGCCGCUGUUCUGUUCAUCAAGGCUGAGGAAACAAAGCAG
Onychomys torridus (southern grasshopper mouse) is the source of this 515-nucleotide long non-coding RNA. RefSeq lists it as uncharacterized. The transcript is spliced from 3 exons. The record is from RefSeq and is a predicted model, not a curated record. NCBI's taxonomy places the organism in Eukaryota, Metazoa, Chordata, Mammalia, Rodentia, Cricetidae.